UAUCUAGAAAGUGGUAAUUCAGUUCAUUAACCCACUUAUAAAAUCAAUAUAUCACGCAGGGAGCUGAACAAAACUUGGCAGCUGUGCCUAUAUCCCCUUUGCACCUGAGGGAAGCCUGACUGAAAGAAUCAGAGCCUCUUCACUCUGCCUGUGGCAGCGUGCAGCAGCCACGGACCCUCACCAGGAUCUGCAGAGCAAGCCUUGCCUCCUAAGUUAGCUCUUGGAAACUUUUGUGCAUAGGAUGUCCAGCUGCAGGAGGCUUUUUCUUUAGUGGAAGUGGAGGUUCGCAUAGAAAUAGGUUGAUCUUCCUGAGUCCCCGGUGGCACAGGUCCCAGAGCCCUGGGUUACUUAGGGUCAGUCGUCCUGGUGGUUGCAGUCAUGACGGAGUGGUAAAUCCACUAUUGAUUCUCAGAUAUUUCAUCUACUUUCUUUUGUAUUAGUAAUAAGAUUAAAAAAAAUACAUCGCAGGAGAACAUGUGUUUCACAAAUGCCGUCAUUGUUUUCUGAAACAGAAAGGCUGGUCGAAAAGCGGAGCUGGAAAAGCACGACCCCCCAUUUUGUGCGUGGUAGGCUCCUCUUGACAUUAUGCACUGACGUGAAAGGAUAUGGCUUUCCUGCUGACUUCAGCGAGAGAAAACAAAGAGUUCAGCCUGAGACCGAGAAAUUGCUUCAUAAGAAAACCAUCUGUGUUGAGAGAGAUGGACUAAGCUGGAUCCCUGCCAUACUGUCUGGGGGAAUAUGGUUGUUCUGGACAAGAGGAACAAUGGGAGCAGAAUGGCUGAUAUAUGUGUGCACACAGGUAGGUGCGCGCACACGCACACACACACUAGCAAAAACAUGUGUGUUGUUUAGCAUACAUUUUAUACUGAAUAUACAGAUGUAUAUAGUACUAUGCAUUAGUAACAUAUGUGUGUACACAUGAAUGUAUUUGUGUACAUAUACACAUACAUGUAUGACUGAACUCUGUGA
RNAcentral lists this long non-coding RNA (969 nucleotides) under Anser brachyrhynchus (Pink-footed goose). Its description in RNAcentral is "lncRNA (ENSABRG00000004755.1)". Lineage: Eukaryota; Metazoa; Chordata; Aves; Anseriformes; Anatidae. The record is from RNAcentral.